Brienomyrus brachyistius is the source of this 679-nucleotide long non-coding RNA. RefSeq lists it as uncharacterized. The record is from RefSeq and is a predicted model, not a curated record. NCBI's taxonomy places the organism in Eukaryota, Metazoa, Chordata, Actinopteri, Osteoglossiformes, Mormyridae. The transcript is spliced from 3 exons.
UUCAAUGUAUCAUCACGAGACUACAUUUCAGAGAUGCAGUAUUCCGUGUUUUAGUAUCGGUAUCAGUCUAAACGGCAGUAACUCAGAAUAAUAACGCAUCCAUACAUUUAUUACUUUAAUUUGUCGGAAUGCACGGCAGCUGAAAACACCUGAAAGGGGGUGACGGAAACAAAGAGCCCUGAAGAAUCCUAAACACCAGGCAGCCAACCCAGAGGAACAAGAGAAACAGCGACGAGACCAACAGAUACGGCGCCCCCCUGUGGCAUUGCGCAAACCCCAGUGUCCCCCAGAGGCACCUCCCAGUGUCCAAGACCCCCGCAGGGUUAAUCCAUAGCCAUCCUGACCUAAUCCCAUAGCAAUAAAGAUAUUUUUACCAGCACUGUGUCCCAUGUCCUUCCUCUUCUGAGGUUUGAGGGAAAUGAGGUUAACACAGUAGGGAGAAAGUGCUUAUAUGGGGGUUAUUAUAACCUGAGCUUCCUGAGUCGAAUGGUGUAGCUUUUUGGUGUCAUUUAUUGUGACCCCAUACUUGGUAUGGUUGGGGUUAGGGAUGCUAACAUGCUAACUUUCGAGAUGACUGCGGAUUCUGUAUGUAGGAGGCACAAUAUGUGUAGUCCAAAGUUUCAGCCUGAUCAGAGAAUGCUAAGGGUUAGAUUAUAAUGCAAAAUUGUACUAUCACCGA